Molecule: ribosomal RNA, 484 nt
Filed under: uncultured bacterium
Lineage: Bacteria
Description: partial 16S ribosomal RNA
Rfam family: Bacterial small subunit ribosomal RNA
Source: RNAcentral
AUUGAACGCUGGCGGCAGGCCUAACACAUGCAAGUCGAGCGGAUGAAGGGAGCUUGCUCCUGGAUUCAGCGGCGGACGGGUGAGUAAUGCCUAGGAAUCUGCCUGGUAGUGGGGGAUAACGUCCGGAAACGGGCGCUAAUACCGCAUACGUCCUGAGGGAGAAAGUGGGGGAUCUUCGGACCUCACGCUAUCAGAUGAGCCUAGGUCGGAUUAGCUAGUUGGUGGGGUAAAGGCCUACCAAGGCGACGAUCCGUAACUGGUCUGAGAGGAUGAUCAGUCACACUGGAACUGAGACACGGUCCAGACUCCUACGGGAGGCAGCAGUGGGGAAUAUUGGACAAUGGGCGAAAGCCUGAUCCAGCCAUGCCGCGUGUGUGAAGAAGGUCUUCGGAUUGUAAAGCACUUUAAGUUGGGAGGAAGGGCAGUAAGUUAAUACCUUGCUGUUUUGACGUUACCCACAGAAUAAGCACCGGCUAACUUCGUG